GCUUGUUUAGAAAUACAUAUGCUAAAAUUGUAACAAUACCAAGAACAUUAGUAUGGCCCCUGUACAAAGAUAACAUGCAAAUAUAUGGAGCUUUCCAUAGUUUU
Molecule: small nuclear RNA, 104 nt
Organism: Dromiciops gliroides (monito del monte)
Lineage: Eukaryota; Metazoa; Chordata; Mammalia; Microbiotheria; Microbiotheriidae
Source: RefSeq, a predicted model, not a curated record